Non-coding RNA from Heterocephalus glaber (naked mole-rat), 831 nucleotides. NCBI's taxonomy places the organism in Eukaryota, Metazoa, Chordata, Mammalia, Rodentia, Bathyergidae. The record is from RefSeq and is a predicted model, not a curated record.
CAGAAUUCUGUGAAAACAAACAGAGGAAAAGGAGAGGAAAGAAUAGCAACUGUCAGCAGUAUUCACAGCCAAGGACGGAGGCGAGAGGUGUGGGGUGGAGGAGAUGGGAGGGAUUAUUUUGUCACAAUGCCAUCAUACCAUCUGCUUGGAAUGGAUGCUUUGCAUCCUCACAUAGCCAUGUGUGGAAGCCCUGAUCCUCAGUGGGAUGUGGAGGCUUUGAAAGAGGUGGGAGAUAGAUCAUAUACAGGAUUCUGCACCAUCCAGACAGGGAUGAAAAACCAAGAGUAAGACAUGGUUAAAUCCUGAAACCUUUUGGUUAAAUGAAAGAAAUCCAUCACAAAGGACCACUCCAGGUGGGGCUUAAAUCCAAUGACAAGGGUCCUUGUAAGAGAAGAGAGAAGACACAGGAGGGCACAUGAGGAAGGUGGCAGAGACUGAGGAAUACAGCUACAGCCAAGGGAGCCCCUGGAGCCACCAGAGGCUGGAAAGGUGAGGACAGAGUGCCCCCUGGACUCAUGGCCCUGCCACUGUCCUGACUUCAGACUUUGCACUUCCAGAACUUGAGAGAGUAAAGUUCCACUGUUUUAAGCCAUGCAGUGCUGGCUAUUUGUUACGGCAGCACUAGGAAAUUAACACAAGGUCAGAUAUGUACAUUAUAAUACAGCACCAUAUUAAAUAGGCUACGUAACAUGACCUGAAAUGCACAUCCAUCACCUAACACCCAGUCUUAAAUAAUCUUGACAUGGGGCCAAAUGUAUUUCCGAUCUAGACUUCUGAUACAGUUGAAGUCCCUCUAUUCCUUUUCCCUGACCACUCUUUCUUCUCCCUCCC